This is a long non-coding RNA of Sinocyclocheilus anshuiensis, 296 nucleotides long. RefSeq lists it as uncharacterized. The transcript has 3 exons. NCBI's taxonomy places the organism in Eukaryota, Metazoa, Chordata, Actinopteri, Cypriniformes, Cyprinidae. The record is from RefSeq and is a predicted model, not a curated record.
GAGGAGUGUAGAGCAGAGCUUUGCUCAGGACUCUUACAGUGGAGAUCAGUCUCCGCAUGUAUGGACGCUCUUUAUGGCCCUGGUGCCCUGCACGCUUUGCUGUGAGGAUCACCACAGCCACGGCCACAACAGUGCCAGUCUUGGUUUAUUUCAACUCGGAGAGUGCGAGUCACCCGGACUUAAUUAACCUUUCCAUAAUGCCUGUCUGGAGAUAAUCUCAAAUAAGAAGACUUGGAUGCUUUGAGAAAGAUAAAAAAAACAACAACAACAUGCCACUCAACUGCUACUGACUACCC